RNAcentral lists this ribosomal RNA (229 nucleotides) under uncultured bacterium. RNAcentral describes it as "partial 16S ribosomal RNA". It matches the Rfam family "Bacterial small subunit ribosomal RNA", at positions 133 to 354 of the family's 1533-position model. The record is from RNAcentral.
UACGUACGAACUAACUUAACCGAAAGGUGAGCUAAUGCCGGAUGAGUUAUAUAAGUGCAUGUUUAUAUAGGAAAAGUUGGGGAGACCUGACGCUGAAAGAUGGACUCGCGUCCCAUUAGCUAGUUGGUAGGGUAAUGGCCUACCAAGGCGACGAUGGGUAGCCGGCCUGAGAGGGUGGCCGGCCACACUGGGACUGAGACACGGCCCAGACUCCUACGGAAGGCAGCAG